GGACUACCGGGGUAUCUAAUCCCGUUCGCUCCCCUGGCUUUCGCACCUGAGCGUCAGGUGCUUCCCAGGACACUGCCUGCGCCUUUGGUGUUCCUCCGGAUAUCUACGCAUUUCACCACUACACCCGGAAUUCCGUGUCCCUCUGAAGCCCUCAAGUCCGUCAGUUUUCGAAGCGCUUCCCCAGUUAAGCCGGGAACUGUCACUCCAAACUUGGCGGACCGCCUGCGUGCGCUUUACGCCCAGUAACUCCGGACAACGCUUGCCCCCUACGUAUUACCGCGGCGGCUGGCAC
This 292-nucleotide ribosomal RNA is filed under the name uncultured bacterium. Its description in RNAcentral is "partial 16S ribosomal RNA". The record is from RNAcentral.